This is a non-coding RNA of Oryzias latipes (Japanese medaka), 755 nucleotides long. NCBI's taxonomy places the organism in Eukaryota, Metazoa, Chordata, Actinopteri, Beloniformes, Adrianichthyidae. The record is from RefSeq and is a predicted model, not a curated record.
GUUGACACAGAAACACACAAAUAUACUUUUUCUCCAGAAAACAUUCAAAUAUAGGACAGCGUCUCUAACUGUUGUCGUCUCAUUUGGCUGCUCAAACGGGAAGGUUUCUCUUAGAUUUCUAUAUGCUAACAUAAUAUGUUAGAUUCAAUAAAACAUUGUUUUGAUGGUUCAAAUAUUCUGUUGGUUGAGAUUCUUCUGACAUUUUAGGAUGUUUGUUUGCAUGUUUGGAGUGACAGAACGGGAUCGACAGGUAGUUCCUGAGUUUUUGCCCCGCAGCAACGAUUUAGAUAUCUGUGGAGUCUGUGUCCUGUCAUAGUCUACGUGUUCAGUUUUCUAGCUUGACGUCAUGAAGACUUUGGCAGCUCGGACACAGAUGUGCUGCCCUCAUAGAUGGUUUACAGGCUGGAAACAGAGCUUUAGCUUCCACUGGGCUUUAGUGUUGAACAGCCUGUCAGCUGUCAGCUGCCUGGAUGAUGGGAAGUGGACCGUACAUGGCCUGCAUAAUAGUCUGAGUUAGAACCGGCACUGCUUCAAUGAGCUAAAUACCUGCAUAACACGUUAAACAGUGCUGAGAAAUGUUAGACCGGCAACAAAAAUAAGCAAAAACAUUCAGAAAAAGAUCACGUUUUAAAUGUUUGUUCAACCGAAAAUGCAUCUGAAUUUUUCAAAAAAAUUACAAAAUAAAUUCUAAAUGCUUGUUAAGUUGGAAAAGUGCUGAAAUCUGCUGUCAGGACCACAAGUGACGAGCUUUUCAG